UCCGGGUUGGGCUGCUGGCAGGCUCGACGGGGUUUUGGCCCCCGGCACAGACGCAGGUUCGAUUCCUGCACCCGGAG
Molecule: transfer RNA, 77 nt
Filed under: Actinoplanes sp. SE50/110
Lineage: Bacteria; Bacillati; Actinomycetota; Actinomycetes; Micromonosporales; Micromonosporaceae
Description: tRNA-Gln (TTG) (tRNA-Gln-TTG-2-1)
Source: RNAcentral